AGAUUGAACGCUGGCGGCAGGCCUAACACAUGCAAGUCGAGCGGAAACGAGUUAUCUGAACCUUCGGGGAACGAUAACGGCGUCGAGCGGCGGACGGGUGAGUAAUGCCUAGGAAAUUGCCCUGAUGUGGGGGAUAACCAUUGGAAACGAUGGCUAAUACCGCAUAACGCCUACGGGCCAAAGAGGGGGACCUUCGGGCCUCUCGCGUCAGGAUAUGCCUAGAUGGGAUUAGCUAGUUGGUGAGGUAAGGGCUCACCAAGGCGACGAUCCCUAGCUGGUCUGAGAGGAUGAUCAGCCACACUGGAACUGAGACACGGUCCAGACUCCUACGGGAGGCAGCAGUGGGGAAUAUUGCACAAUGGGCGCAAGCCUGAUGCAGCCAUGCCGCGUGUGUGAAGAAGGCCUUCGGGUUGUAAAGCACUUUCAGUCGUGAGGAAGGUAGUGUAGUUAAUAGCUGCAUUAUUUGACGUUAGCGACAGAAGAAGCACCGGCUAACUCCGUGCCAGCAGCCGCGGUAAUACGGAGGGUGCGAGCGUUAAUCG
This 542-nucleotide ribosomal RNA is filed under the name Vibrio campbellii ATCC BAA-1116. RNAcentral describes it as "SSU rRNA". It matches the Rfam family "Bacterial small subunit ribosomal RNA", at positions 26 to 547 of the family's 1533-position model. The record is from RNAcentral. Lineage: Bacteria; Pseudomonadati; Pseudomonadota; Gammaproteobacteria; Vibrionales; Vibrionaceae.